Long non-coding RNA from Xiphophorus hellerii (green swordtail), 127 nucleotides. RefSeq lists it as uncharacterized. NCBI's taxonomy places the organism in Eukaryota, Metazoa, Chordata, Actinopteri, Cyprinodontiformes, Poeciliidae. The transcript has 3 exons. The record is from RefSeq and is a predicted model, not a curated record.
GUAAUGUUAAGAAUGGGGCACAAAUUUAUGGAAGACAUUUUCUUAGCCAUUGAAUAUCUACAUAAUGCCAGUGAGUUAAUUAGAUUAUCAAACCCAUAGGUCAAUCUUCAAAUAAAUCUGAAUAUAA